UACUACCGUCUCUCAAAAUUAUUCUUCCUUUGUCUAAUCGUCUCUUCUCCGGCUUCCUGCCUCGAUUUUAGUGAUUUUUUUUUUUUUUCAUCUCUGGGUUGUUGUGGGAGCUUAUCUUCUGUCAUGUAUUCUGCAAGUUUUCUUCUGUCUUAUAUGCAAAUUGUGUAAAUUAUAUACUUUAGUAGUUUUUUAUGAUUUGCCUUUUUUUUUUAGGGGGGCAAGAAUUCCACAUUGAACCCUUCAAAUAUUGAAUUUUUCUUUUGCUGAUGAGCUCCUAAAUCAUUUAUUUUGAAUCACACUAAAUUUUGAGUAGCUGGGUCUCUGUGUGAACUGAUGGGAACUGCUACUACUCAGUACCCAUAUGGAAUCACUGCACAUUCCUAUGGAAAUUUUGGUCACAAGUUGGAUAUUUCAAGCUCCAAGUUUCCUUAUAAAGUGGGAUUUUCAAGAAUUGCUGCCAUCAACAAUUCCAAGGGAUUUGUCAGUCGAAUAUGUUCAGUACCUGAUCUUGAUGAUAUCUUUUGGGAGAAAGUUUCUACACCAAUACUUGAUGUGGUUGAAAACCCUAUCCACUUGAAGAAUUUGACCCCUAAGGAACUGAAAGAGCUGGCUAAUGAAAUACGAGCAGAAUUGUCUUCUAUAAUGUCAAGGACUCAAAAAUCUAUUAAGACCAGUUUAGCAGUGGUGGAACUCACCGUUGCCAUUCAUCAUGUUUUUCAUGCACCAGUGGACAAGAUACUAUGGGAUGUUGGGGAACAGACAUAUGCGCAUAAAAUUCUCACAGGUAGACGGUCCCUUAUGCAUACACUGAAACAAAAGAAUGGUCUUUCUGGCUUUACAUCUCGGUCUGAGAGCGAAUAUGAUCCAUUUGGGGCAGGGCAUGGAUGCAAUAGUAUUUCUGCUGGGCUUGGGAUGGCAGUUGCACGUGAUAUGAAAGAGAAACGGGAACGUGUUGUUACAGUCAUCAGCAACGGGACAACUAUGGCUGGUCAGGUCUAUGAAGCGAUGAGCAAUGCAGGCUAUCUGGACUCAAAUAUGAUAGUCAUUUUAAAUGACAGCCAUCACUCUUUGCAUCCAAAGAUUGAAGAGGGUCCCAAGACUUCGAUCAAUGCUCUAUCUAGCACCCUAAGCAAGCUCCAGUCAAAUAAAUCAUUCCGGAAGCUUAGAGAAGUUGCAAAGGGUGUUACCAAAAGGAUUGGUAUGGGUAUGCAUGAAUUAGCAGCCAAAGUUGAUGAGUAUGCACGUGGUAUGAUGGGUCCUCUAGGAGCAACUCUCUUUGAAGAGCUCGGUUUGUAUUACAUAGGCCCUGUUGAUGGACACAACAUUGAAGACCUAGUUUGUGUUCUACAAGAAGUGGCAUCUCUGGAUUCUAUGGGUCCUGUCUUGGUACAUGUAAUAACAGAAGAAAAUCGAAAACCAGAAGAUAAGCAAAAGAGUGAGGCAUUGCAGAACCUGCAGGAUGGUUCAUUUGUGUCUGAAUCUUCUCUCUAUAGUAUUCAUACUAGAACAUAUAGUGAUUGCUUUGCGGAGGCUUUGGUCAUGGAGGCAGAGAAGGACAAAGAUAUUGUGACUGUUCAUGCAGGAAUGGAAAUGGAAAAAGCUUUUCAACUAAUUAUGGAGAGAUUUCCAGAUAGGUUUUUUGAUGUGGGAAUGGCUGAGCAGCAUGCGGUUACAUUUUCUGCUGGUUUAUCUUGUGGGGGGUUGAAGCCAUUUUGCAUAAUUCCUUCUGCCUUUCUACAGAGAGCAUAUGACCAGGUGGUUCAUGAUGUUGAUCGACAGAGGAUUCCAGUUCGUUUUGUCAUUACAAGUGCAGGAUUGGUAGGGUCUGAUGGUCCUAUGCAGUGUGGGGCAUUUGAUAUAACAUUCAUGUCAUGCUUACCAAACAUGAUUGUUAUGGCACCAUCCGAUGAGGAUGAGCUUGUGGACAUGGUGGCUACUGCAGUUAACAUUGAUGAUCGUCCAGUCUGCUUCCGUUAUCCAAGGGGUGCCAUUAUUGGGACAGAUCAUUAUGUGCGCAGUGGAAUUCCAAUUGAGGUUGGAAAGGGAAAAGUUCUCAUAGAGGGUAAAGAUGUUGCUUUGCUUGGGUAUGGGGCAAUGGUUCAGAACUGCCUCAAAGCUCGGCACCUUCUUUCAAAGCUUGGCAUUGAGGUAACUGUUGCUGAUGCAAGAUUCUGCAAGCCUCUCGACAUGAAGCUUCUCAGACAACUAUGUGAAAAUCAUGCAUUUCUGGUCACAGUUGAGGAAGGCUCUGUUGGAGGAUUUGGAUCCCAUGUUGCACAGUUCAUGGCUCUUGAUGGACAACUUGAUGGUAGAGUUAAAUGGCGACCUAUCGUUUUACCAGACAGCUAUAUCGAACACGCAUUGCCAAAGGAACAGCUUACUCUUGCUGGGCUGACUGGACACCAUAUUGCUGCAACAGUACUAAGACUGCUUGGUCGCACCCGCGAAGCUCUCCUUUUAAUGUGUUAGAAAUCUAUAUUUUCUCUGCUAUUAUCGCUUAAGAUGUUGAGCCUUCAUUGUUUCACUGAUUUUUAAUCUCAUUACAAAGGCAGGACUACAUGAGGAUGAUACAAGAAAAGAACGGCCCAAACCAAUCUAACAGAGACCCAAAAGCUAACAGAAUUUCCACGCAACAGGCAGCGUGGUGAAAGGUCCUCAACACGGUUUUGUGAAAUAAUCUUUUCCUACUUUACGUGAAGCAAUCCAAGAUCAGAAAACUUACAGGGCAUGUGUAGUGACUGUCAUAUCCUAGGCAGAUCUCUUCUUGAAAGCUACAGCUACUUGAUUAUGACCAAUUUCCUUUGAUGGAAUUGGAGAAUGGACUGGACUUCCUCACCUACCCAACUAAAUUCCAUCUCCAGCCAUGCACACACCUUGAAUUGCCAGCUUUUUAAUUAAUAUUAGCCUGUGAUAGCAUUUUUAAUUAAUGUCAGCCUGUGGAUAGCACCAAAACGACAAAGAAUCCCAAGUCUGAUGUUGAAUAGAUUUUGGAGCUCAUCUUGCACGUGCCUUGCACCAUUAAAUAGCGUAAAAAUUAAUCAUGAAUUUUUAAUUUUUAAUUUAUUGUGGGUGCGCUCUCAUGAAUA
This is an RNA transcript of Hevea brasiliensis (rubber tree), 3086 nucleotides long. It is a transcript of the gene named probable 1-deoxy-D-xylulose-5-phosphate synthase, chloroplastic, with no coding region annotated. NCBI's taxonomy places the organism in Eukaryota, Viridiplantae, Streptophyta, Magnoliopsida, Malpighiales, Euphorbiaceae. The transcript has 11 exons. The record is from RefSeq and is a predicted model, not a curated record.